Molecule: ribosomal RNA, 109 nt
Filed under: Clostridium ganghwense
Lineage: Bacteria; Bacillati; Bacillota; Clostridia; Eubacteriales; Clostridiaceae
Description: partial 16S ribosomal RNA
Rfam family: Bacterial small subunit ribosomal RNA
Source: RNAcentral
AGCCCGUGAGGUAACCUUUUGGAGCCAGCGGUCGAAGGUGGGAUUGAUGAUUGGGGUGAAGUCGUAACAAGGUAGCCGUAGGAGAACCUGCGGCUGGAUCACCUCCUUU